GCGGAUGUGGCGGAACUGGCAGACGCGCUGGAUUUAGGUUCCAGUGCCUUAGGGCGUGCAGGUUCGAUUCCUGUCAUCCGCA
This 82-nucleotide transfer RNA is filed under the name Periweissella cryptocerci. It matches the Rfam family "tRNA". Rfam says of the family: Transfer RNA (tRNA) molecules are approximately 80 nucleotides in length. Their secondary structure includes four short double-helical elements and three loops (D, anti-codon, and T loops). Further hydrogen bonds mediate the characteristic L-shaped molecular structure. tRNAs have two regions of fundamental functional importance: the anti-codon, which is responsible for specific mRNA codon recognition, and the 3' end, to which the tRNAs corresponding amino acid is attached (by aminoacyl-tRNA synthetases). tRNAs cope with the degeneracy of the genetic code in two manners: having more than one tRNA (with a specific anti-codon) for a particular amino acid; and 'wobble' base-pairing, i.e. permitting non-standard base-pairing at the 3rd anti-codon position. The record is from Rfam by way of RNAcentral. Lineage: Bacteria; Bacillati; Bacillota; Bacilli; Lactobacillales; Lactobacillaceae.